CUCAGGUUCUCAGAGACCAGAAGACUCUUGGCAUCCCCCUGCAGCUCGGUGAAGAGGAUCUCCCUCUCGGCCGCGUUGGACGCCAUUGCGCUGGGGUUUGAAGUCCGCACCUGGACGCUGCCGCCGCCGCCGCCGGGGAGGGGAGCGAGGGAGGCGGGUCCGGGGCCGGGACUAAGGGCGCAUCGGGGGCGGGGGGAGCGCUCGGCACUGAGGCAGGGGGACGCGGGAGGGGCCGCCGCCGCCCCCCUACCGCUCAUGGGGGUCGCGCCGGGCGCUGGGCCGCGGUGCGGUGCGAUGCCGCCGUGCGCUCCCCCGCCCUGUCGCGGCGCUCGGCCCUGGCAGCGCUCGGCCGCCGCGGCUGCUGCUCCUGCGGCCGCCGCGGAUGUCGCACCAUUUGGCUGUCACCCUGUCGCAAAAGCGGCGCUGCUUUGCGGCACCCGGAGCACGUGACAGUUGGAGGGAAGGGCGGGGGGGGAAUGCGGGGGCGGAGGGGUGCCGGCUGCUGCCAGUGAACCUCUGCUCCCUUGCAGGCAGAGCGGCGCGCUCCGCUCAGCGGCGCUCCACACAGCAGCGCUCCCCUCAGCCCCCGGCUUCCCGCCGCCUCCCUCCUGCGUUUCCUCCUCCCGUGAAUCUCCGGUUCCCAGAGUCCCGUUGUUUCCCUCAGCGAUGGCUGGGGGAGGACGGCGCGUGGCAAACCCCUGAUGCUGAGGGUCUCUGGGGCUCGGCCAGCCGCUGCUGAGGGCAGCUGAAACCCCCCGGCCGCUUGUAGCUGGCCCGAGCCCGGCUGCCUCGCGGCCGCAGGGAAGGCAUCCACGCGCCACCCUGGGACCGGGAGCGGCGGGCCGGCAGGUUACGGCGAGCGGGGGCGGCGAACGCGGUUCCCCGAAGCGUAAAAGGGCUGAGCGACAGCGUGCGGGUGCCGGGUGAGUUCGGGGGCCGGCAGUGCCCGCUGAGUCCCCAGAGAGCUCUGAGAGCUUCGAGGGCAACGCCUGUGAGGAAGUGGUGCCUCUUCCCUCGGCGGCACGCGGCACCCGCUUUGAUUCUCGGUUUCCUGCCUGCGUGUUGUUCCACCUGUUCAUAAACGCUUUUGCUGCCUGUUCUGUACACACACGUGCAUUCGCAUUCCACCCUCAUUUCAGACGUUACGGUAGGCUAAUUGAGCUCAUGCAAAACGCUACGUGGAGGUAAUUAAAACUGUUUUUUUCCUAUGCCGUUCCUGCCAGGCUUGUACAAGUUGAGGUAUUUUCGAUAGGUACAUCUUCAUGCAAGUGUUUGUGCUUGCUGCACUCAUUUCAGUGCAUUGCUGUGUGGCUGCAGGCCCAUCAUAGUCUGUUUGCUGUAGAACUGCAGGUUCAAUUACAGAGGGCACUUUGUGGAGGGAAAAACAGAACAGAAGUCAUCAAAAAGAAGCAAACAAUUUACUACAAGCAAAUCUGAAACAUUCUGUGUUCUUACGCUUCCACUGAGCACCAGACAAACUCAACCACCUCAAGUGCUGCCUGUCAUGCAGUGCAGGAGAAGCCUAUGGAUGUCUUCAUGAGUUAGUUUUACAUAAAAGCAAAAUUAAGAUAUUUCUGCCCUCACAGUGCACUUCUAUACACAAGUGAGAUAUUUUCCACUAUGUUAAGAUUUUUCAUAAGCUUGCACACGUACAGAUCUCCAUGCAGACUUAGUUCACUGGAAGCCAAUGGCUUUAAUUUCUGUUUUGUGUGGCCAGGCAAUUGUAGGCUGGAAUGAAGAGCAGAAAGUAGAGAAGAGGAAAACUUUACCUGCCAGUUGUCCAACAGUCAUAGACAAAGAAUACUGAAAACAUUCAUAAAUCAGGGAAAAGAGUUUUAAAGCAGUGUCACACUGGUCUUCCUCACUGCUUGCUGUCAUGUACAUCAAGUGUCACAGGUGAAGAUACACCAUCCCAGGCUAAAUUGGGAAUUGUCUCAGUAAUGGGGUUAGCACUUGAAUAAAAGCGUAGAGGUGUGUGCCUUCUGCGAUGAAUGGAAAUUACUCACAUGCAGUUUGGGUUCUUGAGUUAUUUUUUACUUACAUUGCAGUUUCAAUCUACAGAAGGAAUUCUAACUCAGAAAGUCAUGUAGGUCAUAUUUCUGACUCUUGGCACCACAAACAUCUUUAUGUAGUCAAGACCCUCAAGGUACAUUACUCAAAUCUUAGGUAUAAAGAAGAAUUUCAGAAGUUGUUCAUACAGCACAAUUGUGAGAAAGGCUAUGUGGGACAGUCCUACUUAUUCUACGUUCACCAUACAUUCAUGUUUUUUUUUUUUUUUUUUGGAAAUACCAUAACCAGUGUUUCAGUUAUCCAGUGAAAUCUGUGCUAGCAUAGCUUUGUUGUAACUCAUAUGAAGUGGUCAUAAGUUGGCAGGCAGAAGUCAAAAAGCUUGGUGAAGUUUUGGGUGCAUUGUGGAACAAGGUGGGGGAGUAAGGAAAGACAAUUAUACAAUAAUUUAAUCUUUUAGAGCAUGCUAGAAUGAUGCCAAACUUUAGAUUUUUUUUUUUUGAGAACAAGUGUUUGAAGAUGUAUACAAGUAAUCAGAAAUUACUGUAUGUUAGUCACUUCAUAUACAUGGUCCCUUACUGCUGCUCAUCUACUGGCCUGCUGCUAUUGCAGAGGAAGAGGAAAAGUCUAUGUGUGUGCUUUGUAAGGUGUGGUCAGAAGGAAACAGAAAACCCAGAGAAAACUUGUAGCUGUAUGAGCAGGUGUCAACAGUUAGCUGAACUCUGAAACAGGCAGCUGAUUUAAUUCAUACUCAACCUAGACUAACCAUUGAGUGAAGGCUACACAUAGGCCCUGUCUUGACAGGGAUAACUAUAAGCUUUUUUGUAUUCCCUGUGUAAUUUAUACAACUUGUAAGGACAAGGUCCUGGAUUCUUUGAUAGAAGCGUAUUGGUACAAGAAUUGAAAAACAAAACAUUGUUAGCUACAUCUCUGAUAGUUAAAUCAUUCUUCCUCCAGAUUCUGGAAAAUACAAGGCAGUGCUGGACAACUGUAGCUCUACAUUUAAGUACUCUGACAGUGAAUUACUGAGCAAGAGAGAACAUUCCAAGUGAGUCUCAAAAUAGAAAGCAGCUAAGUACGUAAGUCCAUGAAUUUAGCAUUAUAUGGAAUCCUGAGUUCAGCCCUUGCCUUAAGAUGUCUGAAUGCUUUUUCUUCAGCACUUAUUCUGUUGGAUCAUCCCUUCAAUUAUCAUGCUGGAAAAGCAAAACAAAUAGAAGGGAUGACAGUACCCCUGACUAAAUUACAUUUGAUUAUUAUUUUUUUCUUCAGGUUGUUUAUUAAAACCUUUGUCCUAAAGAGCUGGAAGAGUAAAUUGCUGUGACUUCCAAUAUUUUAUGUAUUACAAAGUGUAAUGCUAUAAUGGAGUGGAAAGUACUGCAAUAAUAGCAGGGUGGCAAAAUCUUUGGCUGCAACAAAUAAGAACAAGCCCGAACACAGCAGCUGCAGAAAUGAAGGAAAAGAGCUACUUACCUUUGGAGGGCCUCAAGUAAGCAUAGAUCUCCAGCAAGAGAUGCCCUCACCUCCACUGCCAACCCUUAAAUGAGGUCUGGGAAGGAGUGGAUCCUGGCUCCAAUCCUUCUGGUCACUCAGGGGCAUUACAUUCACCUGAGCUCCCCUGGGUCGGCACUGCCUUCCCACCAGGUGCUCAAUCACUGGUUCAGGCCCUGACUUAGCAUUUCCACUACACAAGUGUACCUUAUGAAUCCUUGGGCAUAUUACAGAACUCAUUAGCAAAAUAUUAAGGAUUUUGUAAGCAAAAUGCAAGAUAUUUUUUAGACUAGGUUUAAUCAGUCCUUUAUAUAAUGAAAGGGAGAGCCUGAUUUCACUGAGUGAUGCAUGCAGAAAUUAGGAUGGAAGGUAUGUGAAGAGCAGCAGACACAUCUAAUCAUUGUACUGUUAUACUUCUUGACAUCAAGAUAUUACCAGGAAAAAAAGUUUUUCUUUAAGCUUCUGUUUAGUUUUGCCUGUUUAAAUUAGUGAUGUAUUCUAGAGGGACAACAGCGUAUAAAUGUGAUUGGUGUGGAUAACAUGAGGGAAGAAAUGAGAUCCACCUGUUAGUAGGUGAGUGAGGGUACAGCAGUUUUAGCCCAGCCCCAAAAUUUUUAGGCACAAAAUAAGAUGUAGAAAUUAAUGAACUUUUUUUGAUAGGGGAAAGAUGAAUUAGGUUUGCAAGCAAUAUCGAUAUCUGUUAAAGAAAAUCCUUUUCCCUCUCUUUUUUUUCCACUCUUCACCUGCAAUGUGAGAGUACAAGUCUAAUUUAUGUGAGUAUUUUCUCUAAGUUUUUUUGCUUAGUAAUAAUGGUAAAUGUAUAAAAGAAAUGUAGUCCUGCUGUUAGCUUUCAGUUUUUUUUUCUUUUUUUUUUCUCCAUUAUUUUUUCAGUAAUGUUGAUACCUGUUCUCCCUGAUUUGUAGACAUAGAAACAUUGCUCUUGUAUUUUAAUAGUUAUUCUAAGAUGGAUCCUCUAAAAACCCUAUGAAAUCCUAGAGAUAUCAGGCAUGGGAAAAAUGAGAUGAACACAUACACAUAAAUUUUAAUUUUUAUAAGUUUUUACUCUUUACCUUCCUAUUUUGCUUCUCAGAUAAUUGUGGGUGUAGGAGAGUGCUUUUCUUCAAGAGCUUCCAGUAAUAAUUCUUGCAAUGAAUUGAGAAGGAAAUGUGUUGAGGUUGGAUUAAUAAAAGAGCUUAAUAUCAUAAUCUUUUUUAGACCAGGCCUUGCUGAUGUUUACUAAAGAAAAUGCUAAAUCAGGAAAAACAUCAAAGGUGUGGGUAAUUUUAGUGUGUUUAGCUUUAGAAUGUUGUUUCCUUUAUUGGAAACUCACUUCUUCCACAGUAUUUCUUAGAAGUUAAUCUGAGUGGGUGAUUUCUCAAAGGGAAUUCCGUAUUUUAAAAAAAUCUAAUGAACAGAAAGAAAAAAAAACAACCAAAAAUAUACAUAUAAACAAAUAAAACCCUACCUCCUGAGAGAGAGCAUGAGAGCUCUGAGGCUGUUGCUGAUGUACCGCUGACAGUGAGGAGGACAAGAGGACGUUUCCGAAUAUAAAACUAAAGUGACUAUGUAAGUUCAUUUAGCUCUUCUUGUGCCUGCUUGCAAAUGUUGUGUAUUCCUAAACUAUUCAUUUAAUACUCUUUUAAUUACAUAGCUAAUCUUAACAUUUUUGAGUGAGUUACUAUGACAUAAUCAUAGAUCUGCAACCAAUUGCAGUGUGCUUUAUAGUUAAAAAUUGCCUUCUGGAUUUACAUACCUAUUACCCAGGGCUAGAUGUAGCAUAUUAUCACGCAGCAAUGUAGGCAGAUGCCUUGAGGAGUGGAGUGCAACAAACAUUAUCUGUUUUAUUAAUUCUGGACCCUGGGAAGACUUGCAGUGAGUGCGAAAAGUGUGCUGGAGGGGAAGGAGAAUAAUUCCUGUUCUUAUCUACUCUUAUGAGGAGAAACUGUGACUUAUGAGUGACAGUUAAUGCUUGUGGAAAGAACGUGUUCCUACCUGUGCAGAGCCACCUGGAAGAUCAGAUCUUAUUUCUUGAAAGGCGAUCAACUUGGAUUAUUUGAAGUAAUAACAAAAUGCUGUAUGUCUUUACAUUAAGGCUAUGAUCCCGCAAGUAGAUCAACAUGAUGGUUCUUUACACCUAUGCUAAGUCCCAGUGAUUCUAAUUAAACUUGAUGAUAAGAUCAAGCUUAAAGUACUCAGUGCUGUUUCUGCAGUGAGCACAGAUGGGCUUCUGUGUUUUUAUUGAAUCCACUGAAGUGAAUUGGGCUUGGUGCAGCAUUUGUAACAUUAAGGCCUUAUUUUCUAUGAAUGCAGAUAAGAGAUCAGUACAAAUAAGGUAACUAUUACCUGUGCAUGGUUCCUAACCUUAUUUGCUUUCUUUCUGUAAAUAGUAAGCACGUUAAUAUAAGCAGUAUCUGAUCUAAAAUAUCCUAGUUCAUUACAAAAGUAAUGCAGGAUUCCAUGAAGAUGCAUUCAAGUGUGACUCAUGUUAUGCUGUUAUGAAGAAGGCUGAUUUUUCUGAAGAAACGUUGGUGAUUAUGACCUACAGUUUUUAUAGGGUGACAUUAGAAUACUGAGGCUUUGGUGGUGAUUGAAGCAUUUUCACACGUGGCUUUUGAGUGUGCAACUUCCGUGAUUCUGUGGAAAAUCUAAUUCCUACAGAGUACUUUGCAAAUACAAAAAUAAAACAACAGGCAAGCACAAAAGCAAUAGCAAAUUUAAACAAAAAGAAAUAGCACAGAGUUUGAGAAUUAUAGUGUAUCUGAAGUCACAGUCUGUGUUUGGAGGAAAGGGAAAUGUAUUGCAAGGAAUGAGUCAGACAUGGGAAUCCCCAGAAACAUCUCCACUGAGUAGAGCAUGUGCUUAAAAAGCUGCUGCAAGGACAUCUCUGCAUGCUUUUAAGAUGGGAUUUGACCUAUUUUUGAAAGAUCUGUUAUUGCCAGUAGUGCUAGCCUCUGCAGAUUUGCUAGCAGCUCCCAUCAGAGUACUCAAAAGGCAGAAGAUUGUGUCUAUUCUCCACUGCAUGAUAGUUAGUUAGGUAGGUACUGCAGAUAGGUACUGCAGAUAGGUAUUGACAGACUGAUCUCAUCAUGUGUUAUGGAAGAUGAUGUGUGGACUCAUGAAUUUUUGAUUAUCCUCAGCCAAGUUUAGUUUGCUGUUCUGAAAUCUACAGCAAAAACUGACAGAGGCAGGAACUGAGAAGAGGUACUGUUAUGGUGCCGUGCCUGGUGAUGUAGUGUCCAUACAUCAAAGCUUUCUAUAGCUCUAAUAUGUUUGUGGGCAAUAUAGACAACUAUGCCAAAUGAUCCUGAAACAAACUUCAUCAGACACUCAGGCUUAGAUGGAAAUGAUUUUUGGUCAUGAUUAACUUGAUGGCUAUUUUUUCUCUCUGUCUUUAUCUCUCCUCAGAGAGAAUAAUCUGCAUGUGUAACUCCAUCAGGGAUUGAAGUCCUAAGUAGUUAUUAACUUGUACUUAGUAUGCAAUGAGUCUGAAUUAAAAGGGUAGAUCUAUCUUCAUCUAAUGAACACUUAAAACAAGAGUGACCAGGCAGGUUUAUAGCUGGCUGUAAUUGUGUUUUCCAUGCUCAUCAAAUAAAAGGUGCCUUUCAUUCUUGUAUGUCCAUAGUACUUGCUUUAAUUGAACUGGCAUCCCCAAGAGAGAGAGCUUAAAAGUUUUCAGGAAAAAGGACAAAUGUGUCAAACAGUAUCAGGGGAAAGAUGCAUUUGUAAAAAACUUUUGUGCUCAUACUAAAUAUGCUGUUGAUUCCCUUCCACUCUGCUCCCUCUUCUCCAUUCUCCCCCUGCCUCCCCUGUCUUUUAUUCUCAUGCUAUUGCAAACAAAUGCACUCCCUUGCAAUAUAGUGUAGUGUCAGAUUGUUUGAUGCACAUUCUUGUGCUUUUGAGCUCAAUGGUUCAGAGAAUUUGUUACAGUGUGUUCUAUAUGUACCCUUAGUAAGUUGUUGUUUAAGCAUCAGUAGAAAGAAAAAGCAUUAUUAUUACUUUAAAUGUUGAUUUCCUUUUUUGAGUAGAAUAGCAAUAGUAGAGGUUGGACAGGGAAAUUAGUCACACGUUCUGUUUGUAAUACCUUUUUAACACAUCUUUGGUGUUCAAAGGCUUUCUCUUAUGUGGAGAAGCUUGUAGGUACAUGAAAAUAUUCCUGAAAAUACCCCAAAUGUAGAGAGGCUUAGGUGAGAUUUUCAUGCUGUAGACUUGCAAAGUUAAUUGUUGAGUUGUUCCUGACUGAGAAGUUAAAAGGUUAGGUGUCUGAAAGAGCAACAACAGUUGAGUUCUUUUACCUUCCAUGAUUUAAUUAGGUAUGUAGAUGCUAGUGAUUUUUUUAAUAGCAUGAUUCUUUUUCCUAUGAUCACUUAAUGUUACAAUUUAGCCUGUUAUACAUUAUAGAAAAGAAAAACCUAGAUAUCUAAAUGACUAAGCUGAAUUCAUUUGCUGUAAGUGGCUUCAAAGUAUCUUGAAAUAUAUUCACUGAAAUCCUGCACAGUCAGUAUGGCCUGUGAUUUGAACCAUAGUAGUUGCAUAACAAAAUAUAUCAAUAGAAAUACAAAAUGCUUGCAAACUGCUUUGCUGCCUAGCAGAUAGUUUUCAGUCAGUGAACUUGUUUUUUCUUUGAAAGAAAAAUGAAGCUAGAAGCUACUGAAGAACAUGUGGAAAAAUGUUUUUGUGUCUUGGUCUGUCUUCUGUAUCUAUGCUGCCAAAGAGCAGUCAAUCAGAGGCAAACUCUGAGGUGAUGCUGAUGGAAGAGAAGGCUGAAGUAUACAAGGCUGGUAUUUGAAAUGUGAUAACCUGAAUUUUCUUUGCACCCUCAGUAAGUUUGCAGAUGACACCAAGCUGGGAGGGAGUGUUGAUCUGCCAGAGGGGAGAAGGGCACUACAGAGGGACCUGGAUAGACUGGAUCAAUGGGCCAAGGUCAAUGGCAUGAGUUUCAAUAGGGCCAAGUGUCAGGUCCUGUAUUUUGGUCACAACAACCCCAGGCAACCCUACAGGCUUGGGGAGGCGUGGCUGGAAAGCUGCCUGAUGGAAAGGGACCUUGGUGUACUGAUGAACAGUCGGCUGAAUAUGAGCCAGCAGUGUGCCCAGGUGGCCAAGAAGGCCAAUGGCAUUCUGGCUUGUAUCAGGAAUGGUGUGGUGAGCAGGACUAGGGAAGUCAUCCUGCCCCUGUACUCGGCAUUGGUGAGGCCUCACCUCGAGUACUGUGUUCAGUUUUGGGCACCUCAGUACAAGAAGGACAUGGAGGUACUGGAGCAGGUCCAGAGAAGGGCAACGAGGCUAGUGAAGGGCUUGGAAAAUCAGCCCUAUGAGGAGAGGCUGAGGGAGCUGGGGCUGUUUAGUCUAGGGAAGGGGAGGCUGAGGGGAGACCUUAUUACUCUCUUCCAGUACCUGAAAGGUGCUUACAGUGAGAGCGGGGUAGGUCUCUUCUCACUGGUGACAGGUGACAAGAUGAGGGGAAAUGGCCUCAAGUUGUGCCAAGUAAGUUUAGGUUGGACGUUAGGAAACACUUCUUUACAGAAAGGGUGGUUAAACACUGGAAUAGGCUCCUCAGGGAGGUGGUUAAGUCACCGUCCCUGGAUGUGUUCAAGAGCCAUUUGAAUGUGGUGCUCAGAGAUAUGAUUUAGCAGAGGACUGUUAGAGUUAGGGUACCACGGUUAGGCUGCAGUUGGACUUCAUGAUCUUUGAGGUCCUUUCCAACCUGAGUAAUUCUAUUAUUCUUUACAUUCAUUGAUCUCUUUGCUUGCUGCAAUGUUGAUGUGUUAGCUUUAAUGAAGACCUCUUUUACAGAGCUGUUAGUAAAGUCUUUAACUAGUGCAAUGCGUUUUUCUGUGUGCUCUCAUUCUUCCCUGGUUGACUUGCUCCUUGAUUUUUGUGUGUCUGUUCCCUUUUUCCUUUUCCCCCACUUAGUGGAAAUAGUGCAGUGAUGGAACAAAGCAUGAAAAUGAAGUAUAAUAAUCUAAAAAUAAAAUAAUAAGGCUUACCUUCCUUUUGUCCUAUAUUUUCUUUUCAUCCCAACAUCCAUCUAGGAGGCCAAUCUUCAGCUACAGUGUCCUUAAAACCUAUUUGAUUGAGGUAGGAGAAUUUAUCUUAAUUUAGCUAAGAUUAAUGUAGUCGCAAUAAUGAUGGAGAUGAUGGGCACAUAUCAGUUAUGUCCUAAGUAUUUUGGAACCAUGACAGAAUAUUGUAUGCCAGAAGUAUAAAAGUACCUUAAGAGUUGCAUAAGCAGCAUGAUGUUUAUUUUUUUUAUUAAUCAUGAAAGAUAUUAGUAACAAUUAUUAAAAGAUACCAACUUGUAUAGACAUUAAAAGAAUGCAUUUUGCCAUGGUCCUAAACACAAUGGUAUGUCUAGUGGCUAUUUACACCAGCCAUGCAUGUAGAAGCUGGUUUAUCAUCAGAAAAGUGCAAUAAUAGACAGGGUAGCAAAGGAACAGUAAAGCUGUAUACCGUAUUAUGAGACAUGUCGAGUUUAGAUACAGCAGACAAUAUGUUACAACUUGGUUUUGUAAUAUUCAGGUUAUCAAAACAUACUUUGAAACUGUGAAUAUUUAGUAUAAUCAAUAGAAAUCAUUUGAAAGAAAAAGGUGAAGCAGAGGUCAGUUGGGGGUUGCCAUUCACGGGCUGCCCUUAACUGUUUAUUGCUUCCCCUUUUCUCAGCAAAUCCUCUAUUUAAGAAGGAUUGUAAGGCCUGUGUAAUCAUUGAGGAUUUACUUCCUUUGGUGCCACAGAGCUGCAUUCAGCAGCAAUGCUACUGUUUCUUCUUUUUUUUUUUAAAUGUACACGACACUUCUAAAAAGAUGAAUGUUACCAGGAAGUGUUUUUGAUAGCAACAGUUAUAAAUUGUUUGAAAUUUGAAAUGUAGAUAGUCUUAUGUUCAAAUUCUGCCCUUAUGCUGACAAAAGACGCAGUAGUUCUGCAGAAUCUUAGGUGCAGAUGAUGUAAAUGGGAAUUCUGGCUAAUGAGGUCAAGAGUUUUUUAUUUUUUUAACAUGUGCUGGUACAAAAUCUUCUUGAUUCUCAGUUCUGUUUUAAAAUAUAGAGGAAGUCUAAAUAUUUAAUAGUUAGGGUGAAGGCUAAGUCACCACUUCCUUCACUGUCUGUGUUGAACAGAGAACAUAAUGCUUCAAGAAAACUGCAUGAUAUUUCUUACUGCUUAAUGUUCCUGGAAAAUAUGUGGUGUAGAUUGAUAGUUCAAAUAUUAAUUUCAGUUAUCUAAAGUGCUUGAGAAUUUCAGUUUACCCCACACUGUGACCACUCUUUAUUUUAAUGUAGGUAGAAUACUGAAAAGUGCUUAUUCAUAUACAGCUUUCUUACUUGCAUAAUCCGUAAGGACACAGUAUUUCCAAGUAGCUCUAGUAAAAAGGGGGAAAAAAUAAAUUUGCUAAUUGAAAAUUUGUUAUAAAUGAAAAAUGGAAUUUAAAGAAUAUUUUCUGUAUCAAUGGAAAUUUUAAUAUUAAAUUGCUCCAUCUAGUGGCAAACUUCUGAAGCUGAUAGUUUUCCUUCAGUGAUUAUUAUCCCUUAGUGAUUAUUACUCCUUUUAAGGAUUUAAGAUAAAAUUAUGCUACUUUCCCCUUGGAAGUUCUUUGCCAAGGGAACUCUGUAUGUAUCAAGAUACAAGCCCUGAUUUUUUCUUCCAGCGAGUUCUGAGGAAUUUCACUUUUUACUUCAAUGAAAGCAAGCAUAAUGUGCCCAAGUGUGAGAACUGCAUUUGAGUAGCUGGUUUGAGUUAUUCUUGGGACUGGGAGGGCAAAGGGAAGAGGUGGAUUGCAUCAAUAAUUUAUUCAAAAAAGAUGAAGUCUGAUUCCUUGGCAAAUAAUUAAAAUACACAAUGAAUCAUAAUACUGAGUACGGUGUACUCAGAUGCAUCUUGCAUUCUAAAAUGAGAUAAGUUUCUGUUGCAGGAUGUUUCAGUCAAAUCCUAACUGGCUUUGAUAUUGCAUUUUUUAUGAUAGUAGUGAACUAAUCAAAUGAUUUGUUGAUGUUGAUAUCAUUUGUCAGCAAUUGGAAUUCUUCUGCCAAUCAAAGAGAAAACCUGUGUGUUUCCUAGUCAUAGGAGAAUGGGGAGAGAAUUCAAAAGGAAAAUGACCAAGGAAAGGCUCUCUGAUGCCUUCUUCCUUUGCAUGCCUUGAAAAGACACAUUCAGACAGAACAGAAGGGAGCUCUUGAGGAGCUUGUGUAUGUAUUUCCCCCUACCCACUGCUGUGAUCUCUUAUGCAGCUGGCUUUAAAGAGAACUCAUGGACAUAUGAAUGCACGAUCAUAGAACAAAGAAUCAGUUUGAGAGUAGUUGCACAGUAUUGUUUUUCUGUGUCUGAAUGGAGCACAAAACUGUGCAGCCAGCAGCUCAAGUCUGGCUGCGAAGUAAAAAUAUUUAAAAAUGAAAAGGAAGAAGAUGGGAAAGCACUGAAAUAGUUUAAAACCAUAUUUUAAGUUUUAGAUUAAUAAUAAUAAUAAAAAAGUCUGUGCUUGAGAAUGUAAUGGAUGCAUUGAACUUGCUGGCACCCCAUCCUUUAAUUUUCUCAUUCAUUUUUCAGUUUUGGUUAAUCUGCCACAUAAAUAAUGUAUACAUCUUUAAUUUCCUGGUAGAUUAAUUCUCAUUUCUCAGUCCAAGUCUGAAUACUCCUUUUAGAUUAAGCAACUGUUCUCAACACCAGAAGAGUUGCAAUUUAUUCCAGGACUGUUCUGUUAUUCAAGUGAAUAAUGGAACACAAACUUUGCAGUGCACUUUCCCAGACUUCCUCUUCCCAAUUAGUUUGGUCACUUAAAAUUGCAGAUCACUGUUCCUAUCUUCCUUACCCAGGCAAAUGAACCCAUUAAAUAUCACAAUUGCAUAACUUCCCUACAUACUAACUAAAGUUUCCUUGCAAUGUUCGUUUUAGCUUCAGCUGUAUACUUUUGGUUGAACUUGCAGUCUUUGAAAUAUAAGGCCACACAUCUUGAUAAUAGUGCAUGAGCAAGUAAUUAACGUUGCUAUGAAUUGGAAUGACACUUUUUAUCUUUUGUAGUUCUUACAUAGCUGAGGUCUUCCUGGGCAAUAAAGUCAAUUAGGUGUACCCCAUCUCUCCUCAUUUCUAGUGGCUGAGGGAUUCAGGGGUACUCUUUAUGAACUGUAAUUCUUGAAGAUAGGCUGUAUCAGAGUUGCUGAAACUGAGUUUCUUUCCCUGGUACUUGCAUCUAUGUAGUGCUGACAGAAAACUGAGCAAUAAGCUUUGGCCUUUGCUCCUCCUGUUGAGCCGGGGGAACAGACAUAGUGGUGAUUCUGAUGGUUUUCAAGGGUCAGGGAAGGG
Molecule: long non-coding RNA, 12780 nt
Filed under: Gallus gallus (chicken)
Lineage: Eukaryota; Metazoa; Chordata; Aves; Galliformes; Phasianidae
Source: RNAcentral